Molecule: ribosomal RNA, 241 nt
Filed under: uncultured bacterium
Lineage: Bacteria
Description: partial 16S ribosomal RNA
Rfam family: Bacterial small subunit ribosomal RNA
Source: RNAcentral
GAUCCUGGGCUCAGGAUGAACGCUAGCUACAGGCUUAACACAUGCAAGUCGAGGGGCAGCAUUUCAGUUUGCUUGCAAACUGGAGAUGGCGACCGGCGCACGGGUGAGUAACACGUAUCCAACCUGCCGAUAACUCGGGGAUAGCCUUUCGAAAGAAAGAUUAAUACCCGAUGGCAUAAUUAGACCGCAUGGUCUUAUUAUUAAAGAAUUUCGGUUAUCGAUGGGGAUGCGUUCCAUUAGG